RNAcentral lists this ribosomal RNA (492 nucleotides) under uncultured bacterium. Its description in RNAcentral is "partial 16S ribosomal RNA". It matches the Rfam family "Bacterial small subunit ribosomal RNA", at positions 29 to 507 of the family's 1533-position model. The record is from RNAcentral.
AGUGAACGCUGGCGGUAGGCCUAACACAUGCAAGUCGAACGGCAGCACAGUAAGAGCUUGCUCUUACGGGUGGCGAGUGGCGGACGGGUGAGGAAUACAUCGGAAUCUACUUUUUCGUGGGGGAUAACGUAGGGAAACUUACGCUAAUACCGCAUACGACCUACGGGUGAAAGCAGGGGAGCUUCGGACCUUGCGCGAUUGAAUGAGCCGAUGUCGGAUUAGCUAGUUGGCGGGGUAAAGGCCCACCAAGGCGACGAUCCGUAGCUGGUCUGAGAGGAUGAUCGGCCACACUGGAACUGAGACACGGUCCAGACUCCUACGGGAGGCAGCAGUGGGGAAUAUUGGACAAUGGGCGCAAGCCUGAUCCAGCCAUACCGCGUGGGUGAAGAAGGCCUUCGGGUUGUAAAGCCCUUUUGUUGGGAAAGAAAAGCAGCAGGUUAAUACCCCGCUGUUCUGACGGUACCCAAAGAAUAAGCACCGGCUAACUUCGUG